This 69-nucleotide antisense RNA is filed under the name Streptomyces bungoensis. Its description in RNAcentral is "ASpks TB sRNA". It matches the Rfam family "ASpks TB sRNA". Lineage: Bacteria; Bacillati; Actinomycetota; Actinomycetes; Kitasatosporales; Streptomycetaceae. The record is from Rfam by way of RNAcentral.
CUUCACCGACCCCAAAUACAGCGGACGCUCCCGGCCCUGCCCGUAAGUGGCGAGUACCGCCUGUGCCUC